This 446-nucleotide ribosomal RNA is filed under the name uncultured bacterium. RNAcentral's name for it is "partial 16S ribosomal RNA". It matches the Rfam family "Bacterial small subunit ribosomal RNA", at positions 338 to 795 of the family's 1533-position model. The record is from RNAcentral.
CCUACGGGCGGCAGCAGUCGAGAAUCAUGCACAAUGGGGGAAACCCUGAUGGGGCGACGCCGCGUGGGGGAAUGAAGGUCUUCGGAUUGUAAACCCCUGUCAUGGGGGAGCAAAUUAAAAAGAUAGUACCACAAGAGGAAGAGACGGCUAACUCUGUGCCAGCAGCCGCGGUAAUACAGAGGGUUCAAGCGUUGUUCGGAAUCACUGGGAGUAAAGGGUGCGUAGGCUGUUUCGUAAGUCGUGUGUGAAAGGCGCGGGCUCAACCCGCGGACGGCACAUGAUACUGCGAGACUAGAGUAAUGGAGGGGGAACCGGAAUUCUCGGUGUAGCAGUGAAAUGCGUAGAUAUCGGGAGGAACACUCGUGGCGAAGGCGGGUUCCUGGACAUUAACUGACGCUGAGGCACGAAGGCCCGGGGAGCGAAAAGGAUUAGAUACCCGAGUAGUC